Molecule: ribosomal RNA, 1382 nt
Filed under: uncultured bacterium
Lineage: Bacteria
Description: bacterial SSU rRNA
Rfam family: Bacterial small subunit ribosomal RNA
Source: RNAcentral
GAAUUCGCCCUUAGAGUUUGAUCCUGGCUCAGGACGAACGCUGGCGGCGCGCCUAACACAUGCAAGUCGAACGAGCGAGAGAGAGCUUGCUUUCUUGAGCGAGUGGCGAACGGGUGAGUAACGCGUGAGUAACCUGCCCUGGAGUGGGGGACAACAGUUGGAAACGACUGCUAAUACCGCAUAAGCCCACGAUCCGGCAUCGGAUUGAGGGAAAAGGAUUUAUUCGCUUCAGGAUGGACUCGCGUCCAAUUAGCUAGUUGGUGAGGUAACGGCCCACCAAGGCGACGAUUGGUAGCCGGACUGAGAGGUUGAACGGCCACAUUGGGACUGAGACACGGCCCAGACUCCUACGGGAGGCAGCAGUGGAGGAUAUUGCACAAUGGGGGAAACCCUGAUGCAGCGACGCCGCGUGGAGGAAGAAGGUUUUCGGAUUGUAAACUCCUGUCGUUAGGGACGAUAAUGACGGUACCUAACAAGAAAGCACCGGCUAACUACGUGCCAGCAGCCGCGGUAAAACGUAGGGUGCAAGCGUUGUCCGGAAUUACUGGGUGUAAAGGGAGCGCAGGCGGACCGGCAAGUUGGAAGUGAAAACUAAGGGCUCAACCCAUAAAUUGCUUUCAAAACUGCUGGCCUUGAGUAGUGCAGAGGUAGGCGGAAUUCCCGGUGUAGCGGUGGAAUGCGUAGAUAUCGGGAGGAACACCAGUGGCGAAGGCGGCCUACUGGGCACCAACUGACGCUGAGGCUCGAAAGUGUGGGUAGCAAACAGGAUUAGAUACCCUGGUAGUCCACACUGUAAACGAUGAUUACUAGGUGUUGGAGGAUUGACCCCUUCAGUGCCGCAGUUAACACAAUAAGUAAUCCACCUGGGGAGUACGACCGCAAGGUUGAAACUCAAAGGAAUUGACGGGGGCCCGCACAAGCAGUGGAGUAUGUGGUUUAAUUCGACGCAACGCGAAGAACCUUACCAAGUCUUGACAUCCUGCGACGCACAUAGAAAUAUGUGUUUCCUUCGGGACGCAGAGACAGGUGGUGCAUGGUUGUCGUCAGCUCGUGUCGUGAGAUGUUGGGUUAAGUCCCGCAACGAGCGCAACCCUUAUGGUCAGUUACUACGCAAGAGGACUCUGGCCAGACUGCCGUUGACAAAACGGAGGAAGGUGGGGAUGACGUCAAAUCAUCAUGCCCUUUAUGGCUUGGGCUACACACGUACUACAAUGGCGUUAAACAAAGAGAAGCAAGACCGCGAGGUGGAGCAAAACUCAGAAACAACGUCCCAGUUCGGACUGCAGGCUGCAACUCGCCUGCACGAAGUCGGAAUUGCUAGUAAUCGCAGAUCAGCAUGCUGCGGUGAAUACGUUCCCGGGCCUUGCACACACCGCCCGUCA